Molecule: ribosomal RNA, 573 nt
Filed under: uncultured bacterium
Lineage: Bacteria
Description: partial 16S ribosomal RNA
Rfam family: Bacterial small subunit ribosomal RNA
Source: RNAcentral
UGGGGAAUAUUGCACAAUGGGCGCAAGCCUGAUGCAGCCAUGCCGCGUGUGUGAAGAAGGCCUUCGGGUUGUAAAGCACUUUCAGCGAGGAGGAAGGUGGUGAGCUUAAUACGCUCAUCAAUUGACGUUACUCGCAGAAGAAGCACCGGCUAACUCCGUGCCAGCAGCCGCGGUAAUACGGAGGGUGCAAGCGUUAAUCGGAAUUACUGGGCGUAAAGCGCACGCAGGCGGUUUGUUAAGUCAGAUGUGAAAUCCCCCGGGCUCAACCUGGGAACUGCAUUUGAAACUGGCAAGCUAGAGUCUCGUAGAGGGGGGUAGAAUUCCAGGUGUAGCGGUGAAAUGCGUAGAGAUCUGGAGGAAUACCGGUGGCGAAGGCGGCCCCCCUGGACGAAGACUGACGCUCAGGUGCGAAAGCGUGGGGAGCAAACAGGAUUAGAUACCCCUGGUAGUCCACGCUGUAAAACGAUGUCGAUUUGGAGGUUGUGCCCCUUGAGGCGUGGCUUCCGGAGCUAACGCGUUAAAUCGACCGCCUGGGGGAGUACGGCCGCAAGGUUAGAACUCAAAUGAAUUGAC